CAGUCGCCACGGGAAUACAGAGGGUGCAAGCGUUAAUCGGAAUUACUGGGCGUAAAGCGCGCGUAGGUGGUUUGUUAAGUUGAAUGUGAAAUCCCCGGGCUCAACCUGGGAACUGCAUCCAAAACUGGCAAGCUAGAGUAGGGCAGAGGGUGGUGGAAUUUCCUGUGUAGCGGUGAAAUGCGUAGAUAUAGGAAGGAACACCAGUGGCGAAGGCGACCACCUGGGCUCAUACUGACACUGAGGUGCGAAAGCGUGGGGAGCAAACAGGAUUAGAUACCCCUGUAGUCCCUGUCUCUUAUAC
Molecule: ribosomal RNA, 301 nt
Filed under: uncultured bacterium
Lineage: Bacteria
Description: partial 16S ribosomal RNA
Rfam family: Bacterial small subunit ribosomal RNA
Source: RNAcentral